GUACACGCUGUGACUAGCAUAUCAAUAAGCGGAGGAAAAGAAACUAACAAGGAUUCCCCUAGUAACGGCGAGUGAAGCGGGAAGAGCUCAAAUUUGAAAUCUUAAAGGGUUUCCCUUUACGAAUUGUAGUUUAAAGAAGUGUUUUCUGUGGAGGUUUUGGUAAAAGUUCUUUGGAAUAGGACAUCAUAGAGGGUGAGAAUCCCGUAUUUGACCUUUACUUUCAACUUUGUGAUACACUUUCAAAGAGUCGGAUUGUUUGGGAAUGCAGUCCAAAAUGGGUGGUAAAUUUCAUCUAAAGCUAAAUAUUGGCGAGAGACCGAUAGCGAACAAGUACCGUGAGGGAAAGAUGAAAAGAACUUUGAAAAGAGAGUUAAACAGUACGUGAAAUUGUCAAAAGGGAAGCGUUUGACACCAGUGUUGUUUUUCUGAAAAUCAAUUAAAGAACUGUUUAUGCUAAGCUGUUUAGACUUUAUCAGCUAUCUGUUUAGUUUUGAGCUUUUCUUUAAUGCACUUUUCAGUUAACAAGUCAACAUCAAUUUCUUUUGCUGUAAAAAAGCUUGAGGAAGGUGGCUUGAGAUUCGUCUUAAGUGUUUAUAGCCUCUUGCCUAUGCAGUCGGAGAGAUUGAGGUCUGCAGCGUAGAUCCUUCGGGGCUAAAUGCAUUUGUGCUAAGUUAUAGCAUUUUAUAGACAACUUGUUGACUAUGAUUUGUCUUGUAGCUUACUCGCUUAUGUUAUUUUACCUACGCUUAGGAUGUUGACUGAUAUGUAGUCGUA
This 774-nucleotide ribosomal RNA is filed under the name uncultured Neocallimastigales. Its description in RNAcentral is "partial large subunit ribosomal RNA". It matches the Rfam family "Eukaryotic large subunit ribosomal RNA", at positions 22 to 644 of the family's 3401-position model. The record is from RNAcentral. Lineage: Eukaryota; Fungi; Neocallimastigomycota; Neocallimastigomycetes; Neocallimastigales.